GGGGACCUGCGGAAGGAUCAUUAAAAAGUUUCGGUCUAUAAGGCGUAAAACCCUCUAUAGACCGUGAACCCCCACCCUUGUGUAUUAUUUAUUUGUUGCUUUGGCAGGCCGCGAGCUUUACAGCGAGCACCGGCUUCGGCUGGAGAGUGCCUGCCAGAGGACCCAACUCUGUAUUUUAGUGACAUCUGAGUACUAUAUAAUAGUUAAAACUUUCAACAACGGAUCUCUUGGUUCUGGCAUCGAUGAAGAACGCAGCGAAAUGCGAUAAGUAAUGUGAAUUGCAGAAUUCAGUGAAUCAUCGAAUCUUUGAACGCACAUUGCGCCCUCUGGUAUUCCGGGGGGCAUGCCUGUUCGAGCGUCAUUAUGACCAAUCACGCAAGUGGUAUUGGGGCUUGCCAUACGGCAUCCCUUAAACACAGUGGCAGUGCUAUAGGCUCUCAGCGCAGUAAUUAUUUCGCUCUCGAGUCCUAGACCCACCCGCCAAAACCCCAACUUUCUUAGGUUGACCUCGGAUCAGGUAGGGAUACCCGCUGAACUUAAGCAUAUCAAUAGCCGGGAG
This 559-nucleotide ribosomal RNA is filed under the name Arachnopeziza aurelia. Its description in RNAcentral is "eukaryotic LSU rRNA". The stretch from base 208 to 361 matches the Rfam family "5.8S ribosomal RNA". The record is from RNAcentral. Lineage: Eukaryota; Fungi; Ascomycota; Leotiomycetes; Helotiales; Arachnopezizaceae.